Non-coding RNA from Cicer arietinum (chickpea), 407 nucleotides. NCBI's taxonomy places the organism in Eukaryota, Viridiplantae, Streptophyta, Magnoliopsida, Fabales, Fabaceae. The record is from RefSeq and is a predicted model, not a curated record.
UUAAAUUAGGUAGCUUCUCCAAUGUUGUCAUAGGAUCAACAACAAAUCCACAACCUUGCAACUUAAGCUUAGCAAGUUUUGAUGAAAUUUGAUUUGGUUGUGGAAAAUUCACUAUAGGUCCUUCAAUGUGUAGCUUGUAAAGAUUAGGACACCCUACAAAAACUUCAAGGAUUGAUGUAUCUUCAGAACUAACAAAAAACAAUGACUCAAGGGAAAUUAACCAAUGUUUGCAAGUUUUUCAGAUUUGCUAGGUUCCAUGUUUCAAUGCCAUUGCCACAUGAUUCAGUUUACAAGAUUGCCACUGAACCGUACCGCAAGAGACCGGUUUCGCUCCUUACCCACCUCGAGCAACUUGUCCACUUAUCAGUGAACUAUUGGCCAAACUCAGCAGAAAUCACAAUUGGUAA